RNAcentral lists this ribosomal RNA (694 nucleotides) under uncultured bacterium. RNAcentral's name for it is "bacterial SSU rRNA". It matches the Rfam family "Bacterial small subunit ribosomal RNA", at positions 141 to 851 of the family's 1533-position model. The record is from RNAcentral.
GGAUAACGUUUGGAAACGAACGCUAAUACCGCAUGAUAUUAUUGAGCUGCAUGGCUUGAUAAUCAAAGGAGCAAUCCGCUGAAAGAUGGGCUCGCGUCCGAUUAGGUAGUUGGCGGGGCAACGGCCCACCAAGCCGACGAUCGGUAGCCGGACUGAGAGGUUGAACGGCCACAUUGGGACUGAGACACGGCCCAGACUCCUACGGGAGGCAGCAGUGAGGGAUAUUGGUCAAUGGGGGAAACCCUGAACCAGCAACGCCGCGUGAGGGAAGACGGUUUUCGGAUUGUAAACCUCUGUCCUCUGUGAAGAUAAUGACGGUAGCAGAGGAGGAAGCUCCGGCUAACUACGUGCCAGCAGCCGCGGUAAUACGUAGGGAGCAAGCGUUGUCCGGAUUUACUGGGUGUAAAGGGUGCGUAGGCGGUUUUGCAAGUCAGAAGUGAAAUCCAUGGGCUUAACCCAUGAACUGCUUUUGAAACUGCAGAGCUUGAGUGGAGUAGAGGUAGGCGGAAUUCCCGGUGUAGCGGUGAAAUGCGUAGAGAUCGGGAGGAACACCAGUGGCGAAGGCGGCCUGCUGGGCUCUAACUGACGCUGAGGCACGAAAGCGUGGGUAGCAAACAGGAUUAGAUACCCUGGUAGUCCACGCUGUAAACGAUGAUUACUAGGUGUGGGUGGACUGACCCCAUCCGUGCCGGAG